AAUAGUCAGCGAGUUUUAAUGGAAAUAGAAAAUAUUGGUUAUCUAGACAAAUGUGCUCUUGUUUUUAGUAUAUUUUUAUAACUCUUUUGUAAUGUCUUCGUUAUCAGAGCCCUUCAAAUUAGAAUAGUGAUGAUGAUCUUGUCAAUGCUGAGAUUUUCAUGCAUCAACAGCCACUACAUCUGGAUCAGAUUGAACAAGAAACAGACAGCAAGGGUUGUCAGGUCAGAAACAGAAUGACACACAAACACAAGAAACUUCACAGGCAGAUCAACAUGCAAUUUGAAGACGUGUGAUAAAAUACAGAGAGGUGAAGUAGUGUGUCUUUCCAGAUCCCCAAAUCAUUCCCCCUUAAAAGAUGAGCCUGAAGAGGAGAUUUGGGAAGAUGCUGUUUCAUAAGUCGCUUUGCCAGAUCACCUGUGGUCGGAAUGUCUGCUAACAAGAUGCUUUGCUGGUCUGGGCGAGUUUAAAGGCUUACACAGACAGUCCAGAAGUUCUGAAGUCCAUCUUCGAUUUCAUUGAUGCUGUCAUCGUAUUAAGUACAGCAUGAGCCAGAAUAGAUGGGUGGUGGUGGCCAUAAGAAGACUGUCAACUAAACCAACAACAAAAUUCAUAUUUGCAGUUUUUCUUGAAUAAAGUUUUUCUAUUCAGAUUAAUAAAAUGACUUUUAAACAUGAUUUUGUUUCAUAUUUUAUGAUUU
This is a non-coding RNA of Paramisgurnus dabryanus, 697 nucleotides long. The record is from RefSeq and is a predicted model, not a curated record. Lineage: Eukaryota; Metazoa; Chordata; Actinopteri; Cypriniformes; Cobitidae.